Molecule: non-coding RNA, 119 nt
Organism: Solanum tuberosum (potato)
Lineage: Eukaryota; Viridiplantae; Streptophyta; Magnoliopsida; Solanales; Solanaceae
Source: Rfam
AAUGCUGUGAUGAGGUGAAACACCAUAUGGUGUAAUAAGGGCAGUGGAAUUAGAGGGUUAUUUUAUAGCUUUCUCCGUGAGCCUAUUUUAUUAAACGACUUCUCCUUCCACUGAGCAUU